UACGGAGGGUGCAAGCGUUAAUCGGAAUUACUGGGCGUAAAGCGCACGCAGGUGGCUGAGUCAGUCGAUUGUGAAAGCCCUGGGCUUAACCUGGGAAUUGCAGUCGAUACUACUCAGCUAGAGUAUGGGAGAGGGCAGUGGAAUUCCCGGUGUAGCGGUGAAAUGCGUAGAUAUCGGGAGGAACAUCAGUGGCGAAGGCGGCUGCCUGGCCCCAAUACUGA
Molecule: ribosomal RNA, 221 nt
Filed under: uncultured bacterium
Lineage: Bacteria
Description: partial 16S ribosomal RNA
Rfam family: Bacterial small subunit ribosomal RNA
Source: RNAcentral